CUGUGCUUUGAUGGAGCUCUUACAUAACGCAACUUACCGUCCAAAAUGUAGGUAGGUCGUCCAGCGCUCAUCCAGCCAUGUAACACAGCGGCGGUGCGCAUGCGCGCGUCUUUUUGUCCCCCCUCCUCCCCUCCCAUCUUCCAUCCCAGUCCGCCUAUAGGUUCGGCGCGAAGGUAAAAGGGGGAAAAUAGGAGGCUUUAUAAACAUCCACAUUGAUCUCUCUGCCUUGCUGCCCGUUUCACACCUUUCAGUCUUUUUGAGUUUUUUUUCCCCAGCAGCGCCUAAAAUGCCAAGCAAGAGGAAGAAGAACAAGCGUCGCAUGAGGAGGGUGCAAGCCCAGAGGAGAGCACUUGAGGAUCAGCAUGCAGCCAAUCCACCAAUCAAAGCCAGCUCAGGGAUUGCCAUUAGUGCGCCCCCUACAGCAACGCCCAAAAAAGCAGCUAAAAUUUCACCACCCACUCGAGAAAAGCCCCCACAGGCCAUUCCCAUCUCUGCCCCUGCAGUGGAACCUCCAAAAUUUGAACCACAGCCUGUUGUGAAAGAAGAAGCAGCAGAGGCCUUCGUAGUUGAGGUAGCUGCAGCAGGUGGUGUGCUGUUGGAGCAGGCUACUGUGGACGUGAAAUCCAGAGUGGGGGAUGAAGUCGAAGGUCCAGCACGUGUCGCCAAAGAAGCACCAGCUGAAAGUAUUCCUCCAGCAGAGCCAUCUACGGUUGAAGCCGAUCUGGCGAAGGAGGCUGAGGUUCCUGUUUCUGAAGCAGAGCCCGUCUCUGAGGUUACAGCCCCAGAUGAGGCUUCAGUGGUGGCUGCUGUAGAAGCUGAAACAGAAGCCAAUGAAGACACACAGACAGAGAUGAGUCAGACACAGGACGUCUGUGAGGCAGACUCUCAGAAAGAUGUGACCCUGGCAGAAGAAGACACUGAGACCAAGGAGGAACUAGAAGUGUCCGUCGCUGAAGAGGUAACCGUAUCAGAGUCGGUAAAGGAACAAGCUGAAGAACCAGAGGUAGAAGAUCUCACCAGUGACCAAAGUCCUGCUGAAGUAGAACUUGCAGCAGAAAAAACCGAAUCUGAUACUGGAUCAGAGGUGGAGGUUGUCAUAGAAACACUGGAUCCUGCAGAGCCACCUGAGGAUGGGGAGGAAAAACUGGAAGACUCAGCUGCACUCGGUGUCCAGCCUGUUGCAGCCAUAGAGGAUGCUGUUGGCUCUCCUGUGGAAAUCCCAGCAGUGCUAAAUACCAUCACUGAAGCUCCUCUGGGUGAAGCUGAGCCUCCUGUUGUUGAACAUGCAGAGGGAACUGCUGACCUGCUGCUCCAAAAAUUAGCUGCUACUGAAUCUGUGUCAACAGCAAAGGAUGUUUCGACAUCUCCUGUUGUGCAGCAGGAAGCUGAGGGAACAGGAGACGCUUUUAUCACCCAAUCAGAAUCAACGGAUGCUACUCCUGUAGAUCCUGAAACAGUUUCUGCUGCUCCUGCAGGGGAGAUUGCUGCCGCCAACCAAAAGUGUCUGGGUGUGCUGACAGACGAAGCAAAAUCCGGAGGCUGUGAUGUUCCAUGUCAGGGACCGCUUCCUGUUGAGGCUGUGCAGCUCGGUGGAGUGGAGCUGUCAGUGGAAAUAACACAGAAUGGAAACAUUGUUCCUGAGGUCUCCAUUGAGGGUUAAAAGCCAAGGCACACCGCUCAGACGACCUUUUUCUGUGUGUAAGACUCUAAAAAUUCCCGUUGGAGGACUCAAAGCUUUCCAGGGAGUCAACCAGACCUUUUCAUUUUUUAAGGCUUAAGUCAGAACAGGCAGGAAAUCGAAGUGGGCAUCCACACUUUGAAGUGCCUUUUCCUGUCCUGUACUCGGCUGAAACAUCAAACCAGAUGUGAACAUGCAGGAACGGCUUCUCUCACGACAGCAGCUGAGACCUUUGAAAAAAAAAAAAAAAAAAAAAAAAGCAUCUUUGGUUCUUCUAAAUACUUUGCUAUGCAACAAAAUCACGUAUAAAUGAGUUUGACUGUAGUAGUUCAGGAGGCGGUGCUGAAGGCAUGACAAUCAGCAACAGAAAUAUUUUUGCAUCUUCUGACUCAGAAUAUUUUUCUCCACAGUGCAUAGACUUUAUGCAUAUCAGUAGACUUGUAGCAUUGAUAACUGGGUCUGUAGUUUGUUUAUUGGACAGAGUUGUGUUGUUUUUUUUUUUGCUGUUUUUUGAAAGUCACUCGUUUAGCUUACCACUCUUUUCAAAACAUAAACCUUCCAAUAACAUUAAAACUGGGGUAACUUUUGUCUCGUUCUAUACUGUCAAGACAGUACAGAAUGAGUGUGAAAAAAACAGUAAUGUUUUAAGAUUUGUUCUUAACUAAACCAUCACUAUAGUCGUGUUUCAUGACUGCACAUGGUGCUUUACUAAGGGUUUGGUGAAGCUCCACCUCCCACCUCAAUUUUUUGCAGUCGUUUACAGCAGGUUCUGUGUAAACAACGGCCAAAAGUCAACGAUUUAAAGCAGAACUUCACCUUGGUGUAUGCCACUAUUGAACUAGCUGUUAGCUUUAGCUUUAGCUUUAGAGCAACUAAUUUGGGUUUACUCUAAAGAAAAUGGCAAAAGAAUCGUCUUCUUUGGGCAAUUCAUUUGCUGCUCAUGUCCUUUAACAGAACCAUACUUCAAAAAUUCACAAAUCCAUUUCCUUUUCUGUACCAUUGUCCACUGUCUUGACAAAGUGCCACUGUUAAUGUUACAAAGCUACAUUGUAAAGAGCAAGCUUUGAUGUUCAACAGAAUAUUGAAUAUCAAAAUGAAUUUCAUAGUUCAUUCUGUACACACAGAGUAAUGCAUACACGAUUCUGAGUUACUGUUGGACUGUCUUGACCUGUGAAAUAAAGUUCUAACUCAGUGAUGUGA
This is an RNA transcript of Poecilia reticulata (guppy), 2878 nucleotides long. RefSeq lists it as uncharacterized. The record is from RefSeq and is a predicted model, not a curated record. NCBI's taxonomy places the organism in Eukaryota, Metazoa, Chordata, Actinopteri, Cyprinodontiformes, Poeciliidae.